Molecule: long non-coding RNA, 1457 nt
Organism: Gallus gallus (chicken)
Lineage: Eukaryota; Metazoa; Chordata; Aves; Galliformes; Phasianidae
Source: Ensembl
UCUUGGUGGAGAUCCCUGUCUACCUGAGGUCUUCUAAGGUUCUAAGAGACAAUUGGAAGAAGUGUUAACAAAACCAAGAUGGAUUGUAUUAAUCAGUGGCAAAGGAAGAGGUAUACUUCUUUCAUUACUAAGGAGGUGGGCUUCUCUUACUGAGAACUGCACUACUUUGGUUAUACCCUUUAAACCCAGAAAACAUAGAAGGAGGCAGUGAACAGCUGCGGUUCCUUGAAGAAGAAAUCUCAGCACCAAAGAGAUUGUACCUAAUACAUCUGUGGAAGUGACUGCACUUGUCUGAGGUUUACUCUGACAUAUAUUUUUGUGGCCAAUUCUCUAUGCUCCCAGGUUGCAGGGAACUAUGACUGUCACAAGCCCUUCUCAGCUGCGAAGAGGAAAACGUCUAUGGUGGUGGAAAACUCCUUACUUCGUGGGUUGUUCUAUGAUGUUCUGCUGGAAAAAGUAGCUGAAGCAGGGAAGGGAGAGAUUGCCAUUGUGAUACCUCCAGAUAUCCGGAGAACAAUGGAAAGAAUGCUAUCUUCAACAACUGCACUUUUGGUUCUCUUUGAUGUACAUUCAAAGUCUUCAGCAGUACAUCAUACCACUUAUAAAAGCAAUAUUUUGAAAUAUACUGGAUUUAGUAUAGGCUCUAGAUUGGGAAGCUCUUGAAUCCUAGGAACUUCUGGCUCUGACAAAAAGAGUAACUUGUGAUCUCUCUAUGAGUACUUGUUUGGUCCUCCUGGUAAUAGAGAUCAUGCUUGUCAAUAUGGUUCUAUUUGCUUACAGCUUGCCUCAUGUUUUCUGUUGAUUGUUUUGUGUUGGGGCUAGAAAAUAAUGCCUCAUUCCUUAAAUUGCUGACUGUAAUAGGAUUUUACUAGAACAAGUGAGUAAAUAGCUUCUCAACUUGCAUACAGUGGUUGCUAAAGGCUGGUUAAGCUUCCCUCCUACUUACCUGGCUUGCUUUGAGCUGUAUGAAAUCUACUGAUGCCAGGCAGAUUGAUUUUACAGGGGCAGACUGGAAGCAGUUCUGUUAAAACAAAACACCCUCAAAUGGAUGAAGAAACAACUCUAAAUUGUCAUUUGGUUUGUGACUUCUUCAAGGUGAUUUAUGGCAACCAUAUUUCAAGCUGAUCAGCAAUUUUCUUCAUACCAUUUAUGAAAUAUUUUUAAAAAACAAAUAAUUUUUUUCUGACUUCUAUAUUUAUCAAGAUUUCGUGUUUGUGGAACUCCUUGGGCUCUGUUUUAGCAGUAUAUGCUUCUGUAUUUCUGAAGAAAUGUGUCUGACAAACCAACAGAGGCUUACAGUUUAUUUCUUUAGGAAGUCAACAUAAUGGGAGAAAUUUCUACAUCUAUUCUGGUGCUGCAGCUGAUCUCCUCACCGCCCCAGUAUUGGAGGUUUUGUUUCUGAGCAAUAAGGCAGACUAAAACACCUUACAGUAUUACAUGAUUCUGUAAUGUAUCUG